This 1556-nucleotide ribosomal RNA is filed under the name Streptococcus suis. RNAcentral's name for it is "bacterial SSU rRNA". It matches the Rfam family "Bacterial small subunit ribosomal RNA". Lineage: Bacteria; Bacillati; Bacillota; Bacilli; Lactobacillales; Streptococcaceae. The record is from RNAcentral.
UUUAUGAGAGUUUGAUCCUGGCUCAGGACGAACGCUGGCGGCGUGCCUAAUACAUGCAAGUAGAACGCUGAAGUCUGGUGCUUGCACUAGACGGAUGAGUUGCGAACGGGUGAGUAACGCGUAGGUAACCUGCCUCAUAGCGGGGGAUAACUAUUGGAAACGAUAGCUAAUACCGCAUAACAGUAUUUACUGCAUGGUAGAUACUUGAAAGGAGCAAUUGCUUCACUAUGAGAUGGACCUGCGUUGUAUUAGCUAGUUGGUGAGGUAACGGCUCACCAAGGCAUCGAUACAUAGCCGACCUGAGAGGGUGAUCGGCCACACUGGGACUGAGACACGGCCCAGACUCCUACGGGAGGCAGCAGUAGGGAAUCUUCGGCAAUGGGGGCAACCCUGACCGAGCAACGCCGCGUGAGUGAAGAAGGUUUUCGGAUCGUAAAGCUCUGUUGUAAGAGAAGAACUGUGAGAAGAGUGGAAAGUUUCUCACUUGACGGUAUCUUACCAGAAAGGGACGGCUAACUACGUGCCAGCAGCCGCGGUAAUACGUAGGUCCCGAGCGUUGUCCGGAUUUAUUGGGCGUAAAGCGAGCGCAGGCGGUUUGAUAAGUCUGAAGUAAAAGGCUGUGGCUUAACCAUAGUACGCUUUGGAAACUGUCAAACUUGAGUGCAGAAGGGGAGAGUGGAAUUCCAUGUGUAGCGGUGAAAUGCGUAGAUAUAUGGAGGAACACCGGUGGCGAAAGCGGCUCUCUGGUCUGUAACUGACGCUGAGGCUCGAAAGCGUGGGGAGCGAACAGGAUUAGAUACCCUGGUAGUCCACGCCGUAAACGAUGAGUGCUAGGUGUUGGGUCCUUUCCGGGACUCAGUGCCGCAGCUAACGCAUUAAGCACUCCGCCUGGGGAGUACGACCGCAAGGUUGAAACUCAAAGGAAUUGACGGGGGCCCGCACAAGCGGUGGAGCAUGUGGUUUAAUUCGAAGCAACGCGAAGAACCUUACCAGGUCUUGACAUCCCGAUGACCACCCUAGAGAUAGGGUUUCUCUUCGGAGCAUCGGUGACAGGUGGUGCAUGGUUGUCGUCAGCUCGUGUCGUGAGAUGUUGGGUUAAGUCCCGCAACGAGCGCAACCCCUAUUGUUAGUUGCCAUCAUUCAGUUGGGCACUCUAGCGAGACUGCCGGUAAUAAACCGGAGGAAGGUGGGGAUGACGUCAAAUCAUCAUGCCCCUUAUGACCUGGGCUACACACGUGCUACAAUGGCUGGUACAACGAGUCGCAAGUCGGUGACGGCAAGCUAAUCUCUUAAAGCCAGUCUCAGUUCGGAUUGUAGGCUGCAACUCGCCUACAUGAAGUCGGAAUCGCUAGUAAUCGCGGAUCAGCACGCCGCGGUGAAUACGUUCCCGGGCCUUGUACACACCGCCCGUCACACCACGAGAGUUUGUAACACCCGAAGUCGGUGAGGUAACCUUUUAGGAGCCAGCCGCCUAAGGUGGGAUAGAUGAUUGGGGUGAAGUCGUAACAAGGUAGCCGUAUCGGAAGGUGCGGCUGGAUCACCUCCUUUCUAAGGAA